Molecule: ribosomal RNA, 468 nt
Filed under: uncultured bacterium
Lineage: Bacteria
Description: partial 16S ribosomal RNA
Rfam family: Bacterial small subunit ribosomal RNA
Source: RNAcentral
GACGAACGCUGGCGGCGUGCUUAACACAUGCAAGUCGAACGGAAAGGCCCUGCUUUUGUUGGGUGCUCGUGUGGCGAACGGGUGAGUAACACGCGAGUAACCUGCCCUUGACUUUGUGAUAACUUCAGGAAACUGGGGCGAAUACCGGAUAGGAGCUCCUGCUGCAUGGUGGGGGUUGGAAAGUUUCGGCGGUUGGGGAUGGACUCGCGGCUUAUCAGCUUGUUGGUGGGGUAGUGGCUUACCAAGGCUUUGACGGGUAGCCGGCCUGAGAGGGUGACCGGCGACAUUGGGACUGAGAUACGGCCCAGACGCGUACGGGAGGCAGAAGUGGGGAAUAUUGCACAAUGGGCGGACGCCUGAUGCAGAAACGCCGCGUGCGGGAUGACGGCCUUCGGGUUGUAAACCGAUUUCGCCUGUGACGAAGAGUGAGUGACGGUAAUGGGUAAAGAAGCACCGGCUAACUACGUG